CUACGACGGGUACGGGUUGUGAGAGCAAGAGCCCGGAGAUGGAUUCUGAGACACGAAUCCAGGCCCUACGGGGUGCAGCAGGCGCGAAAACUUUACAAUGCUGGCAACAGCGAUAAGGGAACCUCGAGUGCCAGGUUACAAAUCUGGCUGUCGAGAUGCCUAAAAAGCAUUUCAUAGCAAGGGCCGGGCAAGACCGGUGCCAGCCGCCGCGGUAACACCGGCGGCUCGAGUGGUAACCGUUAUUAUUGGGUCUAAAGGGUCUGUAGCCGGCCGGAUAAGUCUCUUGAGAAAUCUGGCAGCUUAACUGUCAGGCUUUCAGGAGGUACUGUCUGGCUCGAGGCCGGGAGAGGUGAGAGGUACUUCAGGGGUAGGGGUGAAAUCUUGUAAUCCUUGAAGGACCACCAGUGGCGAAGGCGUCUCACCAGAACGGACCUGACGGCAAGGGACGAAAGCUAGGGGCACGAACCGGAUUAGAUACCCGGGUAGUCCUAGCCGUAAACGAUACUCGCUAGGUGUCGGCCACGGUGCGACCGUUGUCGGUGCCGUAGGGAAGCCGUGAAGCGAGC
Molecule: ribosomal RNA, 566 nt
Filed under: uncultured archaeon
Lineage: Archaea
Description: bacterial SSU rRNA
Rfam family: Archaeal small subunit ribosomal RNA
Source: RNAcentral